GAUGAAGAACGUAGCGAAAUGCGAUAAGUAAUGUGAAUUGCAGAAUUCAGUGAAUCAUCGAAUCUUUGAACGCACCUUGCGCCCUUUGGCCAUUCCGAAGGGCAUGCCUGUUUGAGUAUCAUGAACACCUCAACUCUUUAUGGUUUUCCAUGAUGAGCUUGGACUUUGGGGGUUUUGCUGGCCUAUGGUCGGCUCCUCUAAAAUAAAUCAGCUUACCGGUGUUUGGUGGGUAUCAUGGGUGUGACAACUAUCUACGCUUGUGGUUUUUCCACCAGGUAACCUUCGACAGCGGAGGUUCACUGGAGCUCAUAGAUGUCUCUCCUCAGCGAGGACAGCCCUUUGAAUGUUUGAUCUCAAAUCAGGUAGGACUACCCGCUGAACUUAAGCAUAUCAAUAAGCGGAGGA
RNAcentral lists this unclassified non-coding RNA (405 nucleotides) under soil metagenome. Its description in RNAcentral is "partial contains 5.8S ribosomal RNA, internal transcribed spacer 2, and large subunit ribosomal RNA". The stretch from base 1 to 121 matches the Rfam family "5.8S ribosomal RNA", at positions 35 to 154 of the family's 154-position model. The record is from RNAcentral.